AGUGAACGCUGGCGGUAGGCCUAACACAUGCAAGUCGAACGGCAGCACAGUAAGAGCUUGCUCUUACGGGUGGCGAGUGGCGGACGGGUGAGGAAUACAUCGGAAUCUACUUUUUCGUGGGGGAUAACGUAGGGAAACUUACGCUAAUACCGCAUACGACUUACGGGUGAAAGCAGGGGAUCUUCGGACCUUGCGCGAUUGAAUGAGCCGAUGUCGGAUUAGCUAGUUGGCGGGGUAAAGGCCCACCAAGGCGACGAUCCGUAGCUGGUCUGAGAGGAUGAACAGCCACACUGGAACUGAGACACGGUCCAGACUCCUACGGGAGGCAGCAGUGGGGAAUAUUGGACAAUGGGCGCAAGCCUGAUCCAGCCAUACCGCGUGGGUGAAGAAGGCCUUCGGGUUGUAAAGCCCUUUUGUUGGGAAAGAAAAGCAGCAGGUUAAUACCCCGCUGUUCUGACGGUACCCAAAGAAUAAGCACCGGCUAACUUCGUG
Molecule: ribosomal RNA, 492 nt
Filed under: uncultured bacterium
Lineage: Bacteria
Description: partial 16S ribosomal RNA
Rfam family: Bacterial small subunit ribosomal RNA
Source: RNAcentral